CAGUAGCCACGGGAAUACGUAGGGUGCAAGCGUUAAUCGGAAUUACUGGGCGUAAAGCGCGCGCAGGCGGAUAGGUCAGUCUGUCUUAAAAGUUCGGGGCUUAACCCCGUGAUGGGAUGGAAACUGCCAAUCUAGAGUAUCGGAGAGGAAAGUGGAAUUCCUAGUGUAGCGGUGAAAUGCGUAGAUAUUAGGAAGAACACCAGUGGCGAAGGCGACUUUCUGGACGAAAACUGACGCUGAGGCGCGAAAGCCAGGGGAGCGAACGGGAUUAGAGACCCGCGUAGUCCCUGUCUCUUAUACA
This 301-nucleotide ribosomal RNA is filed under the name uncultured bacterium. RNAcentral's name for it is "partial 16S ribosomal RNA". It matches the Rfam family "Bacterial small subunit ribosomal RNA", at positions 509 to 809 of the family's 1533-position model. The record is from RNAcentral.